RNAcentral lists this ribosomal RNA (305 nucleotides) under uncultured bacterium. RNAcentral's name for it is "partial 16S ribosomal RNA". It matches the Rfam family "Bacterial small subunit ribosomal RNA", at positions 505 to 807 of the family's 1533-position model. The record is from RNAcentral.
ACAGCAGCAGCCGCGGGAAUACGAAGGGUGCAAGCGUUGGUCGGAAUUACUGGGCGUAAAGCGUGCGUAGGCGGUGAGUUAAGUCUGCUGUGAAAUCCCCGGGCUCAACCUGGGAAUGGCAAUGGAUACUGGCAAGCUAGAGUGUGUCAGAGGAUGGUGGAAUUCCCGGUGUAGCGGUGAAAUGCGUAGAUAUGCGGAGGAACACCGAUGGCGAAGGCAGCCCCCUGGGCCAAUACUGACGCUCAUGCACGAAAGCGUGGGGAGCAAACAGGAUUAGAUACCCGUGUAGUCCCUGUCUCUUAUAC